This 3198-nucleotide ribosomal RNA is filed under the name Triticum aestivum (bread wheat). RNAcentral describes it as "partial small subunit ribosomal RNA". Lineage: Eukaryota; Viridiplantae; Streptophyta; Magnoliopsida; Poales; Poaceae. The record is from RNAcentral.
AUGGGAAAGUCCACCUUGGCACAACUUGUUUACAAUGACAAGAGCAUAAAAGAGUAUUUUGAUGUGACGAUGUGGGUAAGCAUCUCACGCAAACUUAAUGUCCGACGUCAUACACGGGAUAUCAUAGAGUCGGCCUCUCAGGGGGAAUGCCCACAGAUUGAUAACCUUGAUACUCUACAGCGCAAGUUGAUUGACAUACUACAAGAAUCAAAAAAAUUCUUGCUGGUGUUGGAUGAUGUUUGGUUCGAACCAGGCAGUGAGAUGGAAUGGGAGCAACUAUUAGCCCCUCUAGUUUCAAAAGACGCCAGAAGCAAAGUUUUGAUAACUUCUCGGCGGGAUACAUUUCCAGCUGCUCUUUGUUGUGAAGAAGUGUGUCCUCCGGAAAACAUGGAAUAUGCUCAGUUCUUGACACUUUUUAAGCACCAUGCAUUCUCUGGACCAGAAAUCGGAAAUCCACAGUUGCAUGAAAAGUUGGAAGGUUUUGCACAAAAGAUAGCUAAAAGACUUGGACGAUCUCCUUUGGCAGCGAAAGUUGUGGGUUCCCAGUUGAAAGGGAAAACAAGUAUCAGUGCAUGGAAAGGUGCUCUAACUAUAAAGAUUGACGAAUUAACUGACCCCAUGAGAGCUCUGUUGUGGAGUCAUGAGAAGUUAGAUCCUUGUCUGCAGAGGUGCUUCCUAUAUUGCAGCUUGUUUCCAAAAGGCCACAAGUAUGACACUGAUGAGUUGGUUUAUCUUUGGAUGGCAGAGGGCCUUGUUGACUCAUGCGACCAAAACAAGAGAGUGGAAGAUAUUGGGAUGGAUUGCUUCCGUGAGAUGAUCUCCGCUUCAUUCUUUCAACCUGUUUAUGAGGAAGACACUUACUAUCUUAUGCAUGAUCUCCUUCAUGAUCUUGCAGAAUCACUCUCCAAAGGGAACUACUUCAGAUUGGAAGAUUGUAAGAUGACAGAAAUACCAUCCACUGUUCGAUACCUUUCUGUUCGUGUUGAUAGUAUGACGCAACACAAGAAAAGUAUCUGCAAGCUACAUCAUUUACGCACUAUUAUCUGCAUAGAUCCUCUAAUUGAUGAUGUAAGUCACCUUUUUAAUGAGAUACUACAGAAUUUGAAGAAGUUGCGUGUACUAUGUUUGUCAUCUUACAGCAGUAGUAAGUUGCCAGAAUCUGUUGGUCAGUUGAAGCACCUUCGGUAUUUGAACAUCAUCAGAACACUAAUUUCUGAUUUGCCAAGAUCACUGUGUACUCUUUACCACUUGCAGUUACUUCUGUUAAAUGACAAAGUUGAGUGUUUCCCUGAGAAUCUCUGCAAUUUAAGGAAGUUGCGGCAUCUUGAAAGGCAUUUUAAUAGAUUAGACACGUCAUACAAAAUAACACUGCCUCAAAUUCCUUACAUUGGUAAUCUGAGUCUGCUUCAAGAAUUGAAGGCAUUUUCUUUGCAAAAGAAAAAUGGAUAUGAGUUGCAACAGCUGAGGGACAUGAAUGGGAUUCGUGGCAGUUUAAGUGUCACAAAUCUUGAGAAUGUCAGUGGGAAAGAUCAAGCCUUAGAAUCGAAGCUGUGUCAGAAAAGUCAUCUUCACAGCUUGCAACUUGUUUGGAGUUGCAAGAAUAACACGAAUGCAGAGGAUAGUUUACAUUUGGAGAUUCUAGAAGGCCUGAUGCCACCGCCUCAACUUGGGGGACUUACAGUUGACGGUUAUAAAUCUUCAAAAUAUCCUAGCUGGUUACUUGAUGGUUCGUAUUUUGAGAAUUUGGAACAUUUAAGCUUUGUUAAUUGCAGCGUGUUACAAAGCUUACCAUCCAAUAGUGAACUAUUUGGGAAUUGCUCUUCACUUGUCCUCACCAAUAUGCCAAACCUGAAGACAUUACCUUGUCUUCCACUAGGCCUUCAAAAAUUAAUGAUAUCCAAUUGUCCACUGCUUAUAUUUAUUUCGAGCAAUGAUCUAGAACAUCAAGAGCAGAGAGAGGAUAUCUCAAGGACAGACCACUUGGCAUCACAGCUUGGUUUAAUCUGGGACUUGGAUUCAGGAUCACAUAUUAGGAGUGUACUCUCAUCGGAAUAUUCAUUACUCAAGCAGCUGGUCACAUUGAUGCAUGCUGAUGUGUCAAAUGUUCAAAACCUUGAAAGUGCUCUUGAAGGAAAGAAAGAUGAAGCAUUGGUAAAAGAGGAUAUCAUCAAGGCGUGGAUAUACUGUCACGAGCAAAGGAUAGGACUCACAUAUGGAAGGAGCAUUGGACUGCCGCUGAUUACGCCAUCAAGACUUUGUACUCUGUCUCUUUCGAGAUGCAGUAUUACAGAUGGAGCUUUAGCUAUUUGCCUUAAUGGCCUGGCUUCACUGGGAAGUUUGUCCUUGGAAGAGAUUGUGACAUUAACUACUCUUCCUUCUGAAGAAGUGAUCCAACAUUUGACAAAACUUGACUAUUUGUUCAUCAAAGAUUGCUGGUGUCUCAGGUCAUUAGGGGGUUUACGAGCUGCUACCUCUCUUUCAGAAGUUAAAUUGAUUUCCUGCCCUUCUUUAGUGUUGGAAUGUGGAGCAGAAUGUUUGCCAUUAUCCAUUGAGAAGCUCCAUAUAUUAGGUUGUGUACUUGGAGCUGAAUUCCUCUGUACCGGCUGGCAACAGAUGAAUGCUAUUCUCAUAGGCUGUUGCAGAAGCACCGCAUGCUUUUCUGUUGGUACUCUUACCUCUGUUAAAUCACUCUCACUGUAUUGCUUGCCAGAUUUAUGUAUGCUCGAAGGAUUUUCCUCCCUGCAACUUGACCGUGUAGAACUGAUUGAUGUUCCAAAACUCACUCCCGAGUGUAUCUCACAGUUUCGACUCCAGUACUCACUCACUGUUAGCAGUCCUAUAAUACUCAACAACAUGCUGUCGGCUGAAGGUGUCACAGUUCCACCAUUUCUUUCACUUCGAAGUUGCAAGGAACCAUUCGUUUCAUUCAAAGAAUCGGCAAAUUUCACAUUAGUGAGGGCUCUGUCAUUCUCUAAUUGUCAAAUGACUUCCCUGCCAACAAAUCUGAAGUGCUUCUCCAGUCUGAGGAAUCUCAACAUCUCCAAGUGCCCCAACAUAUCAUCCUUACCAGAUCUGCCAUCCUCCCUUCAGUUCAUAUUUGUUUGGGAUUGUUCUGAGCUGUUGAAGGAGAACUGCCGAGCACCUGAUGGAGAAAGUUGGCCAAAGAUUGAGCAUAUCCGCUGGAAGCAAUUUCAGUAG